This 253-nucleotide ribosomal RNA is filed under the name uncultured bacterium. Its description in RNAcentral is "partial 16S ribosomal RNA". It matches the Rfam family "Bacterial small subunit ribosomal RNA", at positions 524 to 776 of the family's 1533-position model. The record is from RNAcentral.
UACGUAGGUGGCAAGCGUUGUCCGGAUUUACUGGGCGUAAAGUGCUUGUAGGCGGUUCGUUAAGUCUGGUGUGAAAUCUCCCGGCUCAACUGGGGGGGGUCAUCGGAUACUGUCGGACUUGAGGUAGGUAGAGGAAAGCAGAAUUCCUGGUGUAGCGGUGAAAUGCGUAGAUAUCAGGAGGAAUACCAGUGGCGAAGGCGGCUUUCUGGGCUUAUCGUGACGCUGAGGAGCGAAAGCGUGGGGAGCAAACCGG